ACGCUGUCUCGAAUAGGCGCUGGAGGUCAGUCUUGUUGAAUACCUUGUAGCGUAAGUUAGGACAGCAAGAUCG
RNAcentral lists this small nucleolar RNA (73 nucleotides) under Leishmania donovani. RNAcentral describes it as "H/ACA box snoRNA LD34Cs1H-1". The record is from RNAcentral. Lineage: Eukaryota; Euglenozoa; Kinetoplastea; Trypanosomatida; Trypanosomatidae.